RNAcentral lists this ribosomal RNA (953 nucleotides) under Salmonella enterica subsp. enterica serovar Kentucky. Its description in RNAcentral is "partial 23S ribosomal RNA". It matches the Rfam family "Bacterial large subunit ribosomal RNA", at positions 690 to 1643 of the family's 2925-position model. Lineage: Bacteria; Pseudomonadati; Pseudomonadota; Gammaproteobacteria; Enterobacterales; Enterobacteriaceae. RNAcentral also lists the same sequence under 11 other names. The record is from RNAcentral.
GGGCGUUAAGUUGCAGGGUAUAGACCCGAAACCCGGUGAUCUAGCCAUGGGCAGGUUGAAGGUUGGGUAACACUAACUGGAGGACCGAACCGACUAAUGUUGAAAAAUUAGCGGAUGACCUGUGGCUGGGGGUGAAAGGCCAAUCAAACCGGGAGAUAGCUGGUUCUCCCCGAAAGCUAUUUAGGUAGCGCCUCGUGAAUUCAUCUCCGGGGGUAGAGCACUGUUUCGGCUAGGGGGCCAUCCCGGCUUACCAACCCGAUGCAAACUGCGAAUACCGGAGAAUGUUAUCACGGGAGACACACGGCGGGUGCUAACGUCCGUCGUGAAGAGGGAAACAACCCAGACCGCCAGCUAAGGUCCCAAAGUCAUGGUUAAGUGGGAAACGAUGUGGGAAGGCCCAGACAGCCAGGAUGUUGGCUUAGAAGCAGCCAUCAUUUAAAGAAAGCGUAAUAGCUCACUGGUCGAGUCGGCCUGCGCGGAAGAUGUAACGGGGCUAAACCAUGCACCGAAGCUGCGGCAGCGACACUGUGUGUUGUUGGGUAGGGGAGCGUUCUGUAAGCCUGCGAAGGUGUCCCGUGAGGGAUGCUGGAGGUAUCAGAAGUGCGAAUGCUGACAUAAGUAACGAUAAAGCGGGUGAAAAGCCCGCUCGCCGGAAGACCAAGGGUUCCUGUCCAACGUUAAUCGGGGCAGGGUGAGUCGACCCCUAAGGCGAGGCCGAAAGGCGUAGUCGAUGGGAAACGGGUUAAUAUUCCCGUACUUGGUGUUACUGCGAAGGGGGGACGGAGAAGGCUAUGUUGGCCGGGCGACGGUUGUCCCGGUUUAAGCGUGUAGGCUGGUUUUCCAGGCAAAUCCGGAAAAUCAAGGCUGAGGCGUGAUGACGAGGCACUACGGUGCUGAAGCAACAAAUGCCCUGCUUCCAGGAAAAGCCUCUAAGCAUCAGGUAACAUCAAAUC